GACGAACGCUGGCGGCGUGCUUAACACAUGCAAGUCGAACGGAAAGGCCCUGCUUUUGUGGGGUGCUCGAGAGGCGCACGGGUGAGUAACACGUGAGUAACCUGUACCUGACUUUGGAAUAACUUCUGGCAACUGGGGCUACUACCGGAUAGGAGCUCCUGCCGCAUGGUGGGGGUUGGAAAGCUUCGGCGGUUGGGUAUGGCCUCGCGGCUUAUAAGUUUGUUGGUGGGGUAGUGGCUCACCAGGGCUUUGACGGGUAGCCGGCCUGAGAGGGUGACCGGCCACAUCGCGACGGAGCUACGGCCCAGACUCCAACGGUAGGCAACAGUGGAGAGUAUUACACAACAGGCGGGAGCCAGAUGCAGCAACGCCGCGUCCGGGAAGACGGCCUUCGGGUUGUAAACCAAUGUCGCCUGUGACGAGGCGUGAGUGACGGUAAUGUGUAAGGAAGCCCCGGCUAACUACGUG
RNAcentral lists this ribosomal RNA (468 nucleotides) under uncultured bacterium. Its description in RNAcentral is "partial 16S ribosomal RNA". It matches the Rfam family "Bacterial small subunit ribosomal RNA", at positions 28 to 507 of the family's 1533-position model. The record is from RNAcentral.